Molecule: ribosomal RNA, 236 nt
Filed under: Clostridioides difficile
Lineage: Bacteria; Bacillati; Bacillota; Clostridia; Peptostreptococcales; Peptostreptococcaceae
Description: partial 16S ribosomal RNA
Rfam family: Bacterial small subunit ribosomal RNA
Source: RNAcentral
GAAACUCGCCUACAUGAAGCUGGAGUUACUAGUAAUCGCAGAUCAGAAUGCUGCGGUGAAUGCGUUCCCGGGUCUUGUACACACCGCCCGUCACACCACGGGAGUUGGAGACGCCCGAAGCCGAUUAGCUAACCUUUUGGAAGAAGUCGUCGAAGGUGGAAUCAAUAACUGGGGUGAAGUCGUAACAAGGUAGCCGUAUCGGAAGGUGCGGCUGGAUCACCUCCUUUCUAAGGAGA